This 253-nucleotide ribosomal RNA is filed under the name uncultured bacterium. RNAcentral's name for it is "partial 16S ribosomal RNA". It matches the Rfam family "Bacterial small subunit ribosomal RNA", at positions 524 to 776 of the family's 1533-position model. The record is from RNAcentral.
UACGGAGGGUGCAAGCGUUGAUCGGAAUCAUUGGGCGUAAAGCGCGUGUAGGCGGCCAUCUAAGUCUGAUGUGAAAGACCGGGGCUUAACCCCGGAAGUGCAUUGGAUACUGGAUGGCUAGAGGACGAGAGAGGGAAGUGGAAUUCCUGGUGUAGGGGUGAAGUCCGUAGAUAUCAGGAGGAACAUCGGAGGCGAAGGCGGCUUCCUGGCUCGUUUCUGACGCUCAGACGCGAAAGCGUGGGUAGCAAACAGG